CCACAUUACUCUUGAGGUGAAAUGCUUACACUUUCAUUUAUAGACCAAAUAAUGUUUAAUUUAUAAUUUGUAAUUAUAAUAUUAAAUCUUAAUCUGACCUAUGGCAUUCAUCAUUUACUGCAAAGACUACUUGGGUAUCUAAUCCUGUUUGUGCUCUGUGCCUUCGUCCUUUAACGUCAGUUUCUACAUAGAGGGCUGCCUUCGCCUUUACCGAGUCCCUUUGGUAUCAUAGAAUUUCAUCUCUCCUCCUCAAGUACUGCCCUCUUACAUAAAACUCUAGUCAAGUACUAACAUUAUAGAAGCUAUAUUGACCGUCUAGGUACCCUUUAAACCUAAUUAAGAUGAAUAACACUAGUCUCUUACGUAUUACCGCGACUGCUGGCACGCAAUUAGUCAAGACACGAUAUAUAUACUGUCAUUAUCAAUAUAUAAACAAAGCUUUAUUCAAUUUUAAUACAAUCCUAUAGAUCAUAUUCAAAGAUAUGAUCAAAAUAGGACUUGCCACUUCUCCAAGUUGCCAGUUCAGCCGUUAGGCA
This 536-nucleotide ribosomal RNA is filed under the name Trichoderma vinosum. Its description in RNAcentral is "partial small subunit ribosomal RNA". The record is from RNAcentral. Lineage: Eukaryota; Fungi; Ascomycota; Sordariomycetes; Hypocreales; Hypocreaceae.